RNAcentral lists this ribosomal RNA (486 nucleotides) under uncultured bacterium. RNAcentral describes it as "partial 16S ribosomal RNA". It matches the Rfam family "Bacterial small subunit ribosomal RNA", at positions 30 to 507 of the family's 1533-position model. The record is from RNAcentral.
AUUGAACGCUGGCGGCAUGCCUUACACAUGCAAGUCGAACGGCAGCACGGGUGCUUGCACCUGGUGGCGAGUGGCGAACGGGUGAGUAAUACAUCGGAACAUGUCCUGUAGUGGGGGAUAGCCCGGCGAAAGCCGGAUUAAUACCGCAUACGAUCUACGGAUGAAAGCGGGGGCCCUUCGGGCCUCGCGCUUUCGGGUUGGCCGAUGGCUGAUUAGCUAGUUGGUGGGGUAAAGGCCUACCAAGGCGACGAUCAGUAGCUGGUCUGAGAGGACGACCAGCCACACUGGGACUGAGACACGGCCCAGACUCCUACGGGAGGCAGCAGUGGGGAAUUUUGGACAAUGGGCGAAAGCCUGAUCCAGCAAUGCCGCGUGUGUGAAGAAGGCCUUCGGGUUGUAAAGCACUUUUGUCCGGAAAGAAAUCCUUGGCUCUAAUACAGUCGGGGGAUGACGGUACCGGAAGAAUAAGCACCGGCUAACUACGUG